This 464-nucleotide ribosomal RNA is filed under the name uncultured Escherichia sp. RNAcentral describes it as "bacterial SSU rRNA". It matches the Rfam family "Bacterial small subunit ribosomal RNA", at positions 47 to 498 of the family's 1533-position model. Lineage: Bacteria; Pseudomonadati; Pseudomonadota; Gammaproteobacteria; Enterobacterales; Enterobacteriaceae. The record is from RNAcentral.
CCUAACACAUGCAAGUCGAACGGUAACAGGAAGGCAAGCUUGCUUCUUUGCUGACGAGUGGCGGACGGGUGAGUAAUGUCUGGGAAACUGCCUGAUGGAGGGGGAUAACUACUGGAAACGGUAGCUAAUACCGCAUAACGUCGCAAGACCAAAGAGGGGGACCUUCGGGCCUCUUGCCAUCGGAUGUGCCCAGAUGGGAUUAGCUAGUAGGUGGGGUAACGGCUCACCUAGGCGACGAUCCCUAGCUGGUCUGAGAGGAUGACCAGCCACACUGGAACUGAGACACGGUCCAGACUCCUACGGGAGGCAGCAGUGGGGAAUAUUGCACAAUGGGCGCAAGCCUGAUGCAGCCAUGCCGCGUGUAUGAAGAAGGCCUUCGGGUUGUAAAGUACUUUCAGCGGGGAGGAAGGGAGUAAAGUUAAUACCUUUGCUCAUUGACGUUACCCGCAGAAGAAGCACCGGCU